AGAGUUUGAUCAUGGCUCAGAACGAACGCUGGCGGCAGGCUUAACACAUGCAAGUCGAACGAUGCUUUCGGGCAUAGUGGCGCACGGGUGCGUAACGCGUGGGAAUCUGCCCUUGGGUUCGGAAUAACAGUUAGAAAUGACUGCUAAUACCGGAUGAUGACGUAAGUCCAAAGAUUUAUCGCCCAGGGAUGAGCCCGCGUGAGAUUAGGUAGUUGGUGGGGUAAAGGCCUACCAAGCCGACGAUCUCUAGCUGGUCUGAGAGGAUGAUCAGCCACACUGGGACUGAGACACGGCCCAGACCCCUACGGGAGGCAGCAGUGGGGAAUCUUGCGCAAGGGGCGAAAGCCUGACGCAGCCAUGCCGCGUGAAUGACGAAGGUCUUAGGAUUGUAAAAUUCUUUCAGCGGGGACGAUAAUGACGGGACCCGCAGAAGAAGCCCCGGCGAACUUAGUGCCAGCAGCCGCGUAAUUC
Molecule: ribosomal RNA, 471 nt
Filed under: uncultured bacterium
Lineage: Bacteria
Description: bacterial SSU rRNA
Rfam family: Bacterial small subunit ribosomal RNA
Source: RNAcentral